AGAUACAAAUAUUAAUGAGAUCUAUAUUCUUUGUUCAAUCUUCUCUUGCAAUAAUGGUAUGUGAUAUAAUUCUAUUCAUUAAAAUAUAAUUUAUUUUUUAUUAUUAUUAUUCAAUAUUAUAUUCAUUUAUAUGUUAAGAAUUGCAUGUAUGACACUAGGAGAUAGACAACGACGUUCGCAUUCGCAGUCUAUCCUGAAGGCUGAGGCACCUUUAUCGAUUUUCACUAUCGCACCAGCUCCAUCGUUAGAGGGUCCUGCACUAGCAGAUCCGAGUGAGACAGAUCCGAGUGAGGC
This 294-nucleotide long non-coding RNA is filed under the name Elaeis guineensis (African oil palm). RNAcentral describes it as "long non-coding RNA (EGUI_LNC026099)". The record is from RNAcentral. Lineage: Eukaryota; Viridiplantae; Streptophyta; Magnoliopsida; Arecales; Arecaceae.